AACGAACGCUGGCGGCAUGCCUAACACAUGCAAGUCGAACGAGACCUUCGGGUCUAGUGGCGCACGGGUGCGUAACGCGUGGGAACCUGCCCUUAGGUUCGGAAUAACUCCCCGAAAGGGGUGCUAAUACCGGAUAAUGUCUUCGGACCAAAGAUUUAUCGCCUUUGGGUGGGCCCGCGUUGGAUUAGCUAGUUGGUAGGGUAAAAGCCUACCAAGGCGACGAUCCAUAGCUGGUCUGAGAGGAUGAUCAGCCACACUGGGACUGAGACACGGCCCAGACUCCUACGGGAGGCAGCAGUGGGGAAUAUUGGACAAUGGGCGAAAGCCUGAUCCAGCAAUGCCGCGUGAGUGAUGAAGGCCUUAGGGUUGUAAAGCUCUUUUACCCGGGAUGAUAAUGACAGUACCGGGAGAAUAAGCUCCGGCUAACCCCGUG
Molecule: ribosomal RNA, 433 nt
Filed under: uncultured bacterium
Lineage: Bacteria
Description: partial 16S ribosomal RNA
Rfam family: Bacterial small subunit ribosomal RNA
Source: RNAcentral